ACACAUGCAAGUCGAACGAGAAUCUACUGAAAGAGUUUUCGGACAAUGGAUGUAGAGGAAAGUGGCGGACGGGUGAGUAACGCGUGAGGAACCUGCCUUGAAGAGGGGGACAACAGUUGGAAACGACUGCUAAUACCGCAUGACGCAUAGAGGUCGCAUGAUCUUUAUGCCAAAGAUUUAUCGCUUCAAGAUGGCCUCGCGUCUGAUUAGCUAGUUGGCGGGGUAACGGCCCACCAAGGCGACGAUCAGUAGCCGGACUGAGAGGUUGAACGGCCGCAUUGGGACUGAGAUACGGCCCAGACUCCUACGGGAGGCAGCAGUGGGGAAUAUUGGGCAAUGGGCGCAAGCCUGACCCAGCAACGCCGCGUGAAGGAAGAAGGCUUUCGGGUUGUAAACUUCUUUUAAGAGGGAAGAGCAGAAGACGGUACCUCUAGAAUAAGCCACGGCUAACUACGUGCCAGCAGCCGCGGUAAUACGUAGGUGGCAAGCGUUGUCCGGAUUUACUGGGUGUAAAGGGCGUGCAGCCGGGUCUGCAAGUCAGAUGUGAAAUCCAUGGGCUCAACCCAUGAACUGCAUUUGAAACUGUAGAUCUUGAGUGUCGGAGGGGCAAUCGGAAUUCCUAGUGUAGCGGUGAAAUGCGUAGAUAUUAGGAGGAACACCAGUGGCGAAGGCGGAUUGCUGGACGAUAACUGACGGUGAGGCGCGAAAGUGUGGGGAGCAAACAGGAUUAGAUACCCUGGUAGUCCACACUGUAAACGAUGAAUACUAGGUGUGCGGGGACUGACCCCCUGCGUGCCGCAGUAAACACAAUAAGUAUUCCACCUGGGGAGUACGAUCGCA
RNAcentral lists this ribosomal RNA (840 nucleotides) under uncultured bacterium. RNAcentral describes it as "bacterial SSU rRNA". It matches the Rfam family "Bacterial small subunit ribosomal RNA", at positions 51 to 890 of the family's 1533-position model. The record is from RNAcentral.